RNAcentral lists this ribosomal RNA (611 nucleotides) under uncultured bacterium. RNAcentral describes it as "bacterial SSU rRNA". It matches the Rfam family "Bacterial small subunit ribosomal RNA", at positions 907 to 1521 of the family's 1533-position model. The record is from RNAcentral.
GAAUUGACGGGGGCCCGCACAAGCAGUGGAGUAUGUGGUUUAAUUCGAAGCAACGCGAAGAACCUUACCAGGUCUUGACAUCCAACUAACGAAGCAGAGAUGCAUCAGGUGCCCUUCGGGGAAAGUUGAGACAGGUGGUGCAUGGUUGUCGUCAGCUCGUGUCGUGAGAUGUUGGGUUAAGUCCCGCAACGAGCGCAACCCUUGUCAUUAGUUGCUACGCAAGAGCACUCUAAUGAGACUGCCGUUGACAAAACGGAGGAAGGUGGGGACGACGUCAAAUCAUCAUGCCCCUUAUGACCUGGGCUACACACGUACUACAAUGGCCGUUAACAGAGGGAAGCAAUACCGCGAGGUGGAGCAAACCCCCAAAAACGGUCUCAGUUCAGAUUGCAGGCUGCAACCCGCCUGUAUGAAGUCGGAAUUGCUAGUAAUCGCGGAUCAGCAUGCCGCGGUGAAUACGUUCCCGGGCCUUGUACACACCGCCCGUCACACCAUGGGAGCCGGUAAUACCCGAAGUCAGUAGCCCAACCGCAAGGAAGGCGCUGCCGAAGGUAGGAUUGGCGACUGGGGUGAAGUCGUAACAAGGUAGCCGUAUCGGAAGGUGCGGCUGG